This 65-nucleotide non-coding RNA is filed under the name Peribacillus asahii. Lineage: Bacteria; Bacillati; Bacillota; Bacilli; Caryophanales; Bacillaceae. The record is from RNAcentral.
AGCCGAAACAGCCUACGGGCUGUCUGGGUGUGGUGGUUCACACUCACUGAUGAUGGCAGCCGUUA